This 483-nucleotide ribosomal RNA is filed under the name uncultured bacterium. Its description in RNAcentral is "partial 16S ribosomal RNA". It matches the Rfam family "Bacterial small subunit ribosomal RNA", at positions 30 to 507 of the family's 1533-position model. The record is from RNAcentral.
AUUGAACGCUGGCGGCAGGCCUAACACAUGCAAGUCGAGCGGAUGAAGGGAGCUUGCUCCUGGAUUCAGCGGCGGACGGGUGAGUAAUGCCUAGGAAUCUGCCUGGUAGUGGGGAUAACGUCCGGAAACGGGCGCUCAUACCGCAUACGUCCUGAGUGAGAAAGUGGGGGAUCUUCGGACCUCACGCUAUCAGAUGAGCCGAGGUCGGAUUAGCUAGUUGGUGGGGUAAAGGCCUACCAAGGCGACGAUCCGUAACUGGUCUGCGAGGAUGAUCAGUCACACUGGAACUGGGACACGGACCAGACUCCUACGGGAGGCAGCAGUGGGGAAUAUUGGACAAUGGGCGAAAGCCUGGUCCAGCCAUGGCGAGUGUGUGAAGAAGGUCUUCGGAUUGUAAAGAACUUUAAGUUGGGAGGAAGGGCAGUAAGUUAAUACCUUGCUGUUUUGACGUUACCAACAGAAUAAGCACCGGCUAACUUCGUG